AUUGAACGCUGGCGGCAGGCCUAACACAUGCAAGUCGAACGGUAACAGGAAACAGCUUGCUGUUUCGCUGACGAGUGGCGGACGGGUGAGUAAUGUCUGGGAAACUGCCUGAUGGAGGGGGAUAACUACUGGAAACGGUAGCUAAUACCGCAUAACGUCGCAAGACCAAAGAGGGGGACCUUCGGGCCUCUUGCCAUCGGAUGUGCCCAGAUGGGAUUAGCUAGUAGGUGGGGUAACGGCUCACCUAGGCGACGAUCCCUAGCUGGUCUGAGAGGAUGACCAGCCACACUGGAACUGAGACGCGGUCCAGACUCCUACGGGAGGCAGCAGUGGGGAAUAUUGCACAAUGGGCGCAAGCCUGAUGCAGCCAUGCCGCGUGUAUGAAGAAGGCCUUCGGGUUGUAAAGUACUUUCAGCGGGGAUGAAGGGAGUAAAGUUAAUACCUUUGCUCAUUGACGUUACCCGCAGAAGAAGCACCGGCUAACUCCGUG
This 490-nucleotide ribosomal RNA is filed under the name uncultured bacterium. Its description in RNAcentral is "partial 16S ribosomal RNA". It matches the Rfam family "Bacterial small subunit ribosomal RNA", at positions 30 to 507 of the family's 1533-position model. The record is from RNAcentral.